CCUACGGGAGGCAGCAGUGGGGAAUAUUGCGCAAUGGGCGAAAGCCUGACGCAGCGACGCCGCGUGAGGGAAGAAGGUUUUCGGAUCGUAAACCUCUGUCAGUAGGGAAGAAAGGUCACUGUGCUAAUCAGCAGUGAAUUGACGGUACCUGCUAAGGAAGCACCGGCUAACUCCGUGCCAGCAGCCGCGGUAAUAAGGAGGGUGCGAGCGUUAAUCGGAAUUACUGGGCGUAAAGCGGUCGUAGGCGGUAUGUGAAGUCUAGGGUGAAGUCCCCGCGCUCAACGUGGGAACUGCCUUUGAAACUGGGAAAAUGGAGUGUAUGAGAGGAAAGUGGAAUUCCAGGUGUAGGAGUGAAAUGCGUAGAUAUCGGGAGGAACAUCAGUGGCGAAGGCGACUAUCUGGCACAUAACUGACGCUGAGGAGCGAAAGCGUGGGUAGCGAACAGGAUUAGAUACCCCAGUAGUC
RNAcentral lists this ribosomal RNA (465 nucleotides) under uncultured bacterium. RNAcentral's name for it is "partial 16S ribosomal RNA". It matches the Rfam family "Bacterial small subunit ribosomal RNA", at positions 338 to 795 of the family's 1533-position model. The record is from RNAcentral.